UUCUGGUUCCCACAGCCCCUGCGUGAUAAAAUUACAUCACAACGGAAACCACCCACCAAACAAGCCACGCCCGAGCAGAAACCACCACAAACAGGAGUCAGGGUCCAACUCCACUCAGAGGAUCUGACUACAGAAAAUGGCUUUGCAGCCGCAGCCUCAGGCAGCACAGCACAGGACCAGGGUCUGAUCUGGCCGAGCGUGUGGACAAGCACGUGCAGGUGGGCCCGAGUCCAGUAGACUGUGACCGUCUCCCGAAGGCGCCACGGCAGCUGGGGCCGGCUUUCACUCUAGAAACCAAGCUCCUCAGAGACAAGUGCACCGAGAACGUUCAGAGCAGCAGAGCAGAGCCCAGAGAGCCCCGGUGAAUACCUCCUCGGAGCGGCGGCGGCAUCCCCCUGCCCUCGCGCGGCGGCAUCCCUCCCCGCAUGCUGUUCAUGGGCGGCUUCUUCCGAGCAAGAGACACUUUAAGUUUGCUCCCUUGGAAAUCUUUCCCUAGAAAAAGAGAGGAGAACACUCAUCACUCCCAAAGUCCAACUCCUCCUCCCCUUGAGGGGAUCAGGAGCAAACCACAUAUGGACAGUCCAGAAGGAAAAAAUCAAGCUACUUCAGAAACUCUCCAAGUCAGUUCUCUUCAAAAUGCCCUGUGGUUACAGGUCUGCCAGCCCACAAGGUCAUGCUCUUCCUCACCUUAACAACUCCGCACUGCUUAAAGAAGUCCACCAGGUCAUCAAGAGUCACACUGUCGUUCAGGCCUUGCACGUAAAUGGCACUGUUGUCAGAGUCUUCAUCUGGAUCUACAGGUGGGCCUUCCCGAGGAAAGGAGGGGCAGUUACUGUCAUGUAUCCAUCGGGGCUGAUUAACCAAUGGUCACUACUACCGGCUAGCAUUCAUCACAAAGCCAAGAGAACUACCAACCUUACUAACAAGAAUGAGAUGGAACUUUUGGCAUAUUUUUGUUUACUCAAGAUAAAGGAAGCCCCAAACUGCUCUCGACAGCGAGAGUAUUCCACUCAUCUACCUGGCUGCUGAACUCCAACACACACUCACUUCUGGGCUAUGCAAUUACAAAGCACAACAUAAAUUCCAGGGAUUCAAAAUUACCUAAAU
Molecule: long non-coding RNA, 1107 nt
Organism: Bubalus bubalis (water buffalo)
Lineage: Eukaryota; Metazoa; Chordata; Mammalia; Artiodactyla; Bovidae
Exons: 3
Source: RefSeq, a predicted model, not a curated record